CGUACCAAAAUCCCGGCAAAAACAUCUUCAAACUUUAUAAUAGUAGAGAUAGAGAUUAGUAUUGUUAUUAUUAUUAGAUGAUAAAAUAUAAAUAGUACUUUAUACGUGACUUAACUUGUAAAAAUUUUUCAUAAAUUUUUCAAAUAUGACAUAUGGUCAAACGUUGAACACGGAAAUUUAUGGUUGUACUUAUG
Oryza sativa Indica Group (long-grained rice) is the source of this 194-nucleotide microRNA precursor. It matches the Rfam family "MIR812 microRNA precursor family". NCBI's taxonomy places the organism in Eukaryota, Viridiplantae, Streptophyta, Magnoliopsida, Poales, Poaceae. The record is from Rfam.